UUUAUAAUUUAUUGAUUUAUUUGUUCUUGCAGUGAGAAAAGACCCUAGAAAAUAUGCCAGAGUAAAAGAUCUUCUAACAAUGAAUGAAGAACUUAAGAAAGCAAGAAAAGCUUUUGACGAGGUUAAAUACGCAGAAUAACGUCAUUGAGUCCCACACCUUGGUAAGAAGAACCGCACAGUCCCAGGGGAAUAUGACGCGCGGAAAUGUAAUUGUGGAUGCGUUUUAUACGUUGGGUAUGACCCACGACAUGCUGUGGAAUACAGUCCUUCAAAACGGCAACGUUAUGUGCGACUGGUUCCUCUUCGAUAUGUAAGAUCUUUUUUGUAUGAUCAAGCGCCGUUGUUAAUAGAUGUUCCUCAGAUGGAUUCGGGCCGAAAUAUUUUUCGAACCAAGCACCGCCCAUCAUAACUGUCAGCACCUAAACCGUUGUCGCAAAAUUCCUAUAUAUAUAAAAUGUUGGACACGAUGAUGUAUAAUUUAAUAUUCUCAAUUUUGUAUAUAUAAAAAUAAAAAUUAUAGAAGAAACUGCGUGUGUGGAAAUUGGAUUGCUAUACAUGAAUCAAAUAAAGAUCUAAAAAUCUAAA
This is a long non-coding RNA of Formica exsecta, 585 nucleotides long. RefSeq lists it as uncharacterized. The record is from RefSeq and is a predicted model, not a curated record. The transcript is spliced from 2 exons. NCBI's taxonomy places the organism in Eukaryota, Metazoa, Arthropoda, Insecta, Hymenoptera, Formicidae.